GUCCACGCUGUAAACGAUGGAUGCUAGCCGUUGGCGAGCUUGCUCGUCAGUGGCGCAGCUAACGCUUUAAGCAUCCCGCCUGGGAGUACGGUCGCAAGAUUAAACUCAAAGGAAUUGACGGGGCCCGCACAAGCGGUGGAGCAUGUGGUUCAAUUCGAAGCAACGCGAAGAACCUUACCAGCCCUUGACAUCCCGGUCGCGGAGAGUGGAGACGCACUCCUUCAGUUCGGCUGGACCGGAGACAGGUGCUGCAUGGCUGUCGU
RNAcentral lists this ribosomal RNA (263 nucleotides) under uncultured bacterium. RNAcentral describes it as "partial 16S ribosomal RNA". It matches the Rfam family "Bacterial small subunit ribosomal RNA", at positions 793 to 1055 of the family's 1533-position model. The record is from RNAcentral.